AGAAAGAAGAAGAAAAACUUGAAGGGAGAAGGAAAAGAAGCAAAAAAAAAAAAAAAAAGGGGGUGCCUGGGUUUUCUGUGUGAUUGUUGUGCUCUCUCUCUCUCUCUCUCUCUCUUU
RNAcentral lists this non-coding RNA (117 nucleotides) under Ctenophora environmental sample. Lineage: Eukaryota; Metazoa; Ctenophora. The record is from RNAcentral.